CUCAGCUUCUCUGCAUUCCUUCUCCAAGCCAUGUGGUUCCCUAUGCCUUUACCUUCCUCUAGCAGGAGGGGACGUACGAGAGGGGAUCCUUUCCCUCAAAGACUUUUCUCACUAGUGGUGGGGAUCACACCCACACAUACACAUGCGUAAAAUCUAACCAUACAAGCCAGAGUGAGAUGUCUGAUAGGCGGCGCAAACCAAGUGCUCUGGGCCUGAGGAGGGGAGGGGGGCAGGGGCAGCACCUGUGGAAGGAAGGGCCUUUAAGCCUCGAAGAAUGAGAAUUCAGAGCGGAAAGUGGGAGACACAGACCAAAGAAACAACCAGAACACAGAGUUCGUAAAGAAGAGAGGAUGAUGCUGCCCUUAAUGCUCAGCUGAUUACAGACUAAACACAAAAGUUCCCAGAGGAAAAUGGUGGACUUGGGAGCUGCUGCCUCAGGAGGAUCUUGAGUGUUAGUGGUUCCUCCCUAUCAGAUGUACCUAAUGCCCAGGAUUUAAUAAAGGAUCAUUCCCAUUCCACCACCAUCUCCAAACAAAUGUUACUUCUUUCUGUUUGCCAGAUCUUGUUUCUGUCCUUCUUCACGACCAAACUCAAAACUCACUGAACCUUACUUUCCCGGAUGCUGCAGCCCUCAGCUAUGGGCAGAGG
This 648-nucleotide long non-coding RNA is filed under the name Homo sapiens (human). RNAcentral's name for it is "HSALNT0018596". Lineage: Eukaryota; Metazoa; Chordata; Mammalia; Primates; Hominidae. The record is from RNAcentral.